UUAGAGACUCUGGACCUUUCUUCCAAAAACACGAGCUUAUGAAUAGGACUCUGUGGUGCCUGACGUGUCGUUCAUGGGUCAGCACAGGCGUGGUAGCUGGGCUGCAGGACAGGCUUAGGAGACCCUCCCAGCAUGGAUGGCGGUAGCUCGUGGGCAAUCUUGCCCCUGAACUAACCCAGCUCAGACUUCAAGUGCCAGAUUGAUCUGAAACUCAGUCUCGCCUCAGCUAGCUGCAGAACAGCCUCCAGAGCCUGCCUGGACACAGUCUAGAAGGAAAAGUUCCCUCUGUCCCUGACUGCCUGGCACACCUUAAAAUCAUUUCAUUUUGCUUUCACCUCUCUUUUUCUGAAAGUCAAAACGUUACAUUCAUGUGUUUCAUGGAAAACAGCUAAGGAUAAAAUACAAAAGCCACACUUCUGUUACACAAUUUCCACUUUCAAAGAAACAUAUAUUUUGGAUCACAAGAACAGGAGGAGUGAAAAAUGCUGGAGAGAGAGGUGAAGAGAAAACAUCUAAUCGCAAAUAACAUUACCUAAGUGCAUUUAUCACUAUAAACUUCCCUCUUAGAACUGCUUCUGCUGUAUCCCGCGAGUUUUGGUGCGUUGUAUUUCCAUUGUUCAAGUGAAUGUGUCUCCCACCACGUCCCUUGGUAGACAGUGCUGCUCCCAGACCCCAGCUGAGAGGAGAUGGAACUGCGUCACUGGCUGCUUCACCAUCCACAGCCUGGACUGAGCUGGGUGGGCCUGCUACUGGAAGUACAGGUGGGCAUGGCUCUUCCCACAUCCCUGGCUUGGCAGAUGGUGCCAGUUGCAGGAUCAAGCUCUGCCCACCAUUGAGCAGCCCAGGCAUCAUGGAGCCUCAGUACUCUUCCUUCGGGCCACAUGGCGCACUCCUUGGCUAGACCAUUCGUC
This is a long non-coding RNA of Homo sapiens (human), 911 nucleotides long. RefSeq lists it as uncharacterized. The record is from RefSeq and is a predicted model, not a curated record. The transcript has 3 exons. Lineage: Eukaryota; Metazoa; Chordata; Mammalia; Primates; Hominidae.